CCUACGGGCGGCAGCAGUGGGGAAUAUUGGACAAUGGGCGAAAGCCUGAUCCAGCCAUGCCGCGUGUGUGAAGAAGGCCUUCGGGUUGUAAAGCACUUUCAGUGGGGAAGAAAGCCUUGGGGCUAAUACCCUCGAGGAAGGACAUCACCCACAGAAGAAGCACCGGCUAACUCCGUGCCAGCAGCCGCGGUAAUACGGAGGGUGCGAGCGUUAAUCGGAAUUACUGGGCGUAAAGCGCGCGUAGGCGGUCUGAUAAGCCGGUUGUGAAAGCCCCGGGCUCAACCUGGGAACGGCAUCCGGAACUGUCAGGCUAGAGUGCAGGAGAGGAAGGUAGAAUUCCCGGUGUAGCGGUGAAAUGCGUAGAGAUCGGGAGGAAUACCAGUGGCGAAGGCGGCCUUCUGGACUGACACUGACGCUGAGGUGCGAAAGCGUGGGUAGCAAACAGGAUUGGAUACCCUAGUAGUC
RNAcentral lists this ribosomal RNA (465 nucleotides) under Vreelandella stevensii. RNAcentral describes it as "partial 16S ribosomal RNA". It matches the Rfam family "Bacterial small subunit ribosomal RNA", at positions 338 to 795 of the family's 1533-position model. Lineage: Bacteria; Pseudomonadati; Pseudomonadota; Gammaproteobacteria; Oceanospirillales; Halomonadaceae. The record is from RNAcentral.